Molecule: small nuclear RNA, 104 nt
Organism: Myotis lucifugus (little brown bat)
Lineage: Eukaryota; Metazoa; Chordata; Mammalia; Chiroptera; Vespertilionidae
Source: Ensembl
GAGCUCUCUUCAGCAGCAUAUAUAAUAAAUUGGAAUGACAAAGAGAUUAUCAUGACUUCUGUACAAGGGAUGACUCUCAAAUUCGUGAAGCAUUCCAUCCUUUU